CCCUUAGACGUUCUGGGCCGCACGCGCGCUACACUGACGAAUGCAACGAGCUUAUAACCUUGGCCGAAAGGUCUGGGUAAUCUCCAAAUUUCGUCGUGAUGGGGAUAGAUUAUUGCAAUUAUUAAUCUUCAACGAGGAAUGCCUAGUAAGCGCAAGUCAUCAGCUUGCGUUGAUUACGUCCCUGCCCUUUGUACACACCGCCCGUCGCUCCUACCGAUUGAAUGGUCCGGUGAAGCGCUCGGACCGCGGCCUCUUGACGGGUCUCCGUCGAUUGGCUGUGGGAAGUUCGUUAAACCUUAUCAUUUAGAGGAAGGAGAAGUCGUAACA
Molecule: ribosomal RNA, 327 nt
Filed under: uncultured eukaryote
Lineage: Eukaryota
Description: partial 18S ribosomal RNA
Rfam family: Eukaryotic small subunit ribosomal RNA
Source: RNAcentral